UGAUUUCGUCAUAAUAGUCUCUGUGGAUACGAUAUCCGAUUGCUGUUUAUACUACGAUUACACCGUGUUAGUUGCGGUAUUUUUGUUGCUAAUAAAAUAGUGAUCAACUUUUUGGCGCCGUUGCCGGGGACUGUUUAGAUUUUGCUUUAAUAUUUCUAAUAGGACUUUAUAGUACUGCAAGUUUUAUUUGUUUUUAUUUUUCUUUUCUGAUCUUUUUGCUGUUUCUGUAGGUUGCAUAUGAACACACGAUCUCACGGAAAUCCUCUCUUUGAGUUUGACCCUGAAAUCAAU
This 291-nucleotide long non-coding RNA is filed under the name Salvia miltiorrhiza (redroot sage). Its description in RNAcentral is "long non-coding RNA (SMIL_LNC014314)". The record is from RNAcentral. Lineage: Eukaryota; Viridiplantae; Streptophyta; Magnoliopsida; Lamiales; Lamiaceae.